GAUGAACGCUGGCGGCGUGCUUAACACAUGCAAGUCGAGCGGAAGGGCGCUGCUUUUGUGGGGUUCCCGAUUGGCGCACGCGUGUGUAUCACGUGAGUAUCCCCCCCCUGUCUUUGGGAUAACUCUAGGAAACUGGGGCUCAUACCGGUUAUGAGCUUUUGCCGCAUGGUGGGGGUUGGAAAGCUUCGGCGGUUGGGGAUGGACUCGCGGGUUAUGAGCUUGUUUGGGGGGUAGGGGCUUACCAAGGGUUCGACGGGUAGCCGGCCUGGGAGGGGAACCGGGCACCUGUCGACUACGGUACGGCCCAGACUCGUACGGGAGGCAGCAGUGGGGAAUAUUGCACAAUAGGGGGAAGCCAGAUGCAGCAACGCCGCGUUCGGGAUGAUGGCCUUCGGGUUAGAAACCGCUGUGGCCUGUACCGAGGCGUGAUUGACGGUACUGGAUAAAGAAGCACCGGCUAACUACGUG
This 468-nucleotide ribosomal RNA is filed under the name uncultured bacterium. Its description in RNAcentral is "partial 16S ribosomal RNA". It matches the Rfam family "Bacterial small subunit ribosomal RNA", at positions 28 to 507 of the family's 1533-position model. The record is from RNAcentral.